RNAcentral lists this transfer RNA (72 nucleotides) under Pristionchus pacificus. RNAcentral's name for it is "tRNA-Asp (GTC) (tRNA-Asp-GTC-6-1)". It matches the Rfam family "tRNA". Rfam says of the family: Transfer RNA (tRNA) molecules are approximately 80 nucleotides in length. Their secondary structure includes four short double-helical elements and three loops (D, anti-codon, and T loops). The record is from Rfam by way of RNAcentral. Lineage: Eukaryota; Metazoa; Nematoda; Chromadorea; Rhabditida; Neodiplogasteridae.
UCUCUGGUAGUAUAGUGGUUAGUAUCCGCGCCUGUCACGUGCGAGACCCGGGUUCAAUUCCCGGCGAGAGAG